GGUUAAGGCAGCAGGGUGAGAAUCGGUCUGUGUCACAGGUGCAUUUCCCUCAAGUGUCUGUGGUUUCACACACGAGUCACACAGCUGUGCGUGUUUGCAUUCGCUCUGUAACGAAGGCACGACAGCUGCCGGAGUUUCAGCAGGAAGAGCGCGACAACGGUGACCAAAGGGUUUCUGGAGAUGUCUAUUUAAAUAGCGGUUGGAGAGAGUCGGACUGAGUCACGGGUCCCGUCUGCCACUGUGGGAGCGUCAGGAGAAGUCCCCCUCUGCUGGAUCCUAUUUGGCCGAUCACCUGACAGGAGCCAGACGGGUCACCGGUGGGAGCUGAAUCAGAUCAGACGCGGCGGGCCACGUCUAGACGAGGAGCAGACCCCCUUCCUUGUAUUGUUUGUUUGGUAGGUGGUGGUGAGAGAAAAACAGGAAGAGAGUGUGACUAAGCCAGUGAAAACCUGGUGUCCGGGAGCAGCGAAGGCUUCCUGCCGUCGGAUGUUUCCUCACACACACACACACACACACACAC
Molecule: long non-coding RNA, 520 nt
Organism: Gasterosteus aculeatus aculeatus (three-spined stickleback)
Lineage: Eukaryota; Metazoa; Chordata; Actinopteri; Perciformes; Gasterosteidae
Source: Ensembl